GAGCUGUCCUUAGUACGAGAGGACCGGGAUGGACACACCGCUGGUGUACCAGUUGUUCCGCCAGGAGCAUCGCUGGGUAGCUAUGUGUGGCAGGGAUAAACGCUGAAAGCAUCUAAGCGUGAAGCCCCCCUCAAGAUGAGAUUUCCCAUUUCUUCGGAAAGUAAGAUCCCUGAAAGAUGAUCAGGUAGAUAGGUUUGGAGUGGAAGUGUAGCGAUACAUGGAGCGGACAAAUACUAAUCGAUCGAGGACUUAACCAAAAA
Molecule: ribosomal RNA, 260 nt
Filed under: Listeria monocytogenes
Lineage: Bacteria; Bacillati; Bacillota; Bacilli; Caryophanales; Listeriaceae
Description: partial 23S ribosomal RNA
Rfam family: Bacterial large subunit ribosomal RNA
Source: RNAcentral